This 204-nucleotide long non-coding RNA is filed under the name Mytilus galloprovincialis (Mediterranean mussel). Lineage: Eukaryota; Metazoa; Mollusca; Bivalvia; Mytilida; Mytilidae. The record is from RNAcentral.
AAACAAUAUAUAAGGGUUCAAACAAUGUAAACGAUGUUAACACAACAUCGUUUUAACAUUGUAUACAUCGCGAUGUCAACGAUGUAUACAUUAUAUAAGGGUUCAAACAAUGUAAACAAUGUUGACACUAUAUCGUGUUAACAUUGUAGAUAUCGCGAUGUCGACAAUAUUGAAUAAACAUCCUUCACUGGACAUGAAUGUCUU